This 1235-nucleotide long non-coding RNA is filed under the name Homo sapiens (human). RNAcentral describes it as "HSALNT0283206". The record is from RNAcentral. Lineage: Eukaryota; Metazoa; Chordata; Mammalia; Primates; Hominidae.
AUUGGAAAAUGGUGCAACUGGCCGGAAGAAAGUAACUAAUGGAAUUUCAGCAUCCAUUCUUCAAAAUGGAGGAAACCAGCCUUCUGCAAAAUAUCAAGCACGAGGUGCCAACAAUUAAAAUUGAGGAUAUCAGAAUCUACCCUAAUGUGUUCCAGAGAAUGAUGGCUGAAGUACAAGAGAUGAGAGAGAAGCAGAGCAACAUGGAUGCCAAAUUUGCAGAACUGAAGAAGUGCUUAUUAUUAUCAAGAUUUCUGGUGCUUAUUUCCAAAGUUUUUAAGUUUGAUUGCCUCUGAGUUUAGAAACUGAACUCUUGUUUUCCAUGGCACAUUAGUGAGUUUUACUUCUUUUAAGUAAAACCACAGCACGGAAUCAAAUGCUUUAGUGCUUGGACUGCUGUUCAUGUUCCAAUGGCUUGGAUCAUAUAACUCUGGCUGACUAGUAGACCACUGUAUAAAUCAGAAAUGAAGUCACCAGCAUCCAAGACAGCCAUUCAGGUAUGAAUAAUAUAGCAGAUAGCAGUUUCUAUUUGACACUACAAAAACAGGAAAGGAUGUUAAAUGUAUACGUUCUGAAUUUAAGUACUCUAACCUACAUUCAUGGCUUAUUUGCUAAUUCUUGGUAGCUUCAAGGAUAAUCUAUGAUUCCUUUCUCUGAAGAUGUUUUUUAACUUUGUCUAUAAAAUGGAUACUUUAAGAUAUUUUUCAAUGCUUUAUAAAGAACCAUAUAGUGCAUAAUGCAGCAUACAAUGGAUCUAAUAUUAGGGUAUUUGCUCAGGCAGUAGCAUUCAAAGGCAAAAUUUAUUUUUUUAAACUUCUAUUUUAGAUUCGGGGGGAUACAUGUGCAGGAUUGUUACUUGGGUAUAUUGUAUGAGGCUAAGGUGUAGGGUAUGAAUGAUCCCAUCACUCAGAUAGUGAGCUUAGUACCCAGUAGUUAGUUGGGUUUGUUUUUUCUAUUUCAAUUUUUAUUGAGUAAUACUCUCCAGUUAAAGAGCAUACAUUUAAGGUUUACAACAUGACAAUUUGGUACACACACAUGUUUUAAAAUUAUCAUAAUGAAGCUAAUUAAUCCUUCUAAUUCAUAAACUUGGAAUAUCAUUCCAUUUAUCUGCACUGUCUUUAAUGUCCUUAUUUACAUAUAUAUACACACAUACAUGUAUAUGUGUAUAUACAUAUAAACACAUAUACAUGUAUAUGUGUAUAUACAUAUAUACACAUAUACAUGUAUGUGUGUAUAUA